Long non-coding RNA from Aethalodelphis obliquidens (Pacific white-sided dolphin), 886 nucleotides. RefSeq lists it as uncharacterized. The transcript has 2 exons. NCBI's taxonomy places the organism in Eukaryota, Metazoa, Chordata, Mammalia, Artiodactyla, Delphinidae. The record is from RefSeq and is a predicted model, not a curated record.
GCAGGCCCUGCUCGCCGCAACUAGAGAAAAGCCCACACACAGCAACGAAGAUCCAACGCAGCCAAAAGUAAAUAAAUUUAUAAAAAAUAAAAUAAAAAGACCUGUGUGCCCGUCCCUGUGCACAGCUGCCCGGCUGCUGUAAGAUAACUUCCUGGCAGCGCUACCCGAGCCAAGGGCUGCUUCUCGUCAGAUCUGGCAACGUUCCCACCCGGGGAAGCAGCUGCACCCGCGAUGCCCCACACCCCAGUGACAGAGGCAGAGGUGCGGGCCACAGCCACAAGCCAAGGAGCGUGGGAGCCCCAGAAGCUGAAAGGGGCAGGAAGGACCCCCCCUCCGCUGGAGCCGCCGUUGGGAGAUGGCCCUGCGACACCAGCCUCCAGAGCUGACAGGGUGUGAGUUGAUGGUGUUUGCAGCCCCCUAAGCUGUGGUCCUGUUAGGGCAGCCCCAGGAGACCGUGGAAGCAGAGUUCAGAAAAUUACCCCACUCGCAGAAACGAGGCAAAUGGGUGACGUGUGUCCCUUCACGGGGUCACUGUCUAACCAGCCUGCCGGGUGUCGCUCGGCCCGGGAGGGUUGCUUUCUCUGACUUGCCAUUUAUUAUCGACCAGGCCCAGGUGCCACGAAGCUGGAGGUUACCUUGCGGAAAAUAGGAAAUGUGCAGGUUAUUUUCCCCCAUAAACAUGCAGGUGACUUCUGUCUGGCGGAGAAGAUAAGCAAGGUUGUGGCUUUAUUGUCCUGUUAAGACAUUAACCUGACAUCAAUGGUAGACGUUACCUCCUGAGCCCAGCUCAGCAGCCUCGUUCCGGAGCUCCUUCUCUGACUGCACGUGGAUCCGUCAGGGUUUGACAUUCUUCUUUGAACCAGCCUUGCCAUCUAGACUCGUUCAC